Long non-coding RNA from Cucurbita moschata (crookneck pumpkin), 649 nucleotides. RefSeq lists it as uncharacterized. The transcript has 2 exons. NCBI's taxonomy places the organism in Eukaryota, Viridiplantae, Streptophyta, Magnoliopsida, Cucurbitales, Cucurbitaceae. The record is from RefSeq and is a predicted model, not a curated record.
GAAAUAGAACAAGUUUCGUUGUCUUUCUUGUUGUUGGAAAUUAUGUCUUUGAGAGAUGGAGAAAUUAAGGCUCCUCAAGCUGACCAGGUGGCGGCUACCGCGAAGUCGUUGGGUACGGCGGAGCAACCACCGUGGAAGAUGAGAGAAAAUCCGGUGGUGAUCGUGAACCGCUGUCCCGUCGUCUCACCCUCCGGCGGAAUCUCGAUAACAGUCCUGCCUGGGUAUAUGCAAAUCCAAUAUAGCACUUUUUUCGUCUAGAACAGGUGCUCAUAAUGUAAAUACAUAUAAAUACGAAUGUAAUUUGUUGAACCAAGAAUUUGCUACAGGUUCACGUUAGUUUCCAAUCAUGGUUGAUAGUACUCAUGUGGCCAAGGAUCAAAGUAGUAUGACGUUGAGCUGAGACGAGCUAAUGUCGUUGGGCAUUCUUAAAAAGAGGAAGUUAUGCUCUAGUGCAAUUACAUACCGUUUUAAUAAAUAAUAUAUAGAAGGUAUUUUACGUAUUGAGUCCAUGUAAUUUGUAUAUAUGAUACCUUAGCAAAAGAUUUACUGAAUCCCGAUAAAGGGAGAACUAAAGUAAACGUGCUAAGUUAGAAUGUAAAGAUGUCGAUGGUAAUGAGAUACAACGCAACACUGUAACUUUAUACUAAGA